Molecule: ribosomal RNA, 888 nt
Filed under: Colletotrichum nymphaeae
Lineage: Eukaryota; Fungi; Ascomycota; Sordariomycetes; Glomerellales; Glomerellaceae
Description: LSU rRNA
Rfam family: Eukaryotic large subunit ribosomal RNA
Source: RNAcentral
AUAUCAAUAAGCGNAGGAAAAGAAACCAACAGGGAUUGCCCCAGUAACGGCGAGUGAAGCGGCAACAGCUCAAAUUUGAAAUCUGGCCCCAGGCCCGAGUUGUAAUUUGCAGAGGAUGCUUUUGGCGCGGUGCCUUCCGAGUUCCCUGGAACGGGACGCCAUAGAGGGUGAGAGCCCCGUACGGUUGGACACCAAGCCUUUGUAAAGCUCCUUCGACGAGUCGAGUAGUUUGGGAAUGCUGCUCUAAAUGGGAGGUACAUUUCUUCUAAAGCUAAAUAUUGGCCAGAGACCGAUAGCGCACAAGUAGAGUGAUCGAAAGAUGAAAAGCACUUUGAAAAGAGGGUUAAACAGCACGUGAAAUUGUUAAAAGGGAAGCGCUUGUGACCAGACUUGCGUCCGGUGAAUCACCCAGCUCUCGCGGCUGGGGCACUUCGCCGGCACAGGCCAGCAUCAGCUUGCCGUCGGGGACAAAAGCUUCAGGAACGUGGCUCCUCUCGGGGAGUGUUAUAGCCUGUUGCAUAAUACCCUUCGGCGGGCUGAGGUACGCGCUCCGCAAGGAUGCUGGCGUAAUGGUCAUCAGCGACCCGUCUUGAAACACGGACCAAGGAGUCAACCUUAUGUGCGAGUGUUUGGGUGUCAAACCCCUACGCGUAAUGAAAGUGAACGCAGGUGAGAGCUUCGGCGCAUCAUCGACCGAUCCUGAUGUUCUCGGAUGGAUUUGAGUAAGAGCAUAUAGGGUUGGACCCGAAAGAAGGUGAACUAUGCGUGUGUAGGGUGAAGCCAGAGGAAACUCUGGUGGAGGCUCGCAGCGGUUCUGACGUGCAAAUCGAUCGUCAAACAUGCGCAUGGGGGCGAAAGACUAAUCGAACCUUCUAGUAGCUGGUUUCC